Long non-coding RNA from Acanthopagrus latus (yellowfin seabream), 1579 nucleotides. RefSeq lists it as uncharacterized. NCBI's taxonomy places the organism in Eukaryota, Metazoa, Chordata, Actinopteri, Spariformes, Sparidae. The transcript has 2 exons. The record is from RefSeq and is a predicted model, not a curated record.
CGCUGCUCGGCGGGACGGCGCUGGGCAGGCCGCGGGUCCGACCUGGAAGGACACUCGGGUGGGAUUUCGUUUCGUAGAGAGACGGGUGCACCAUCAGAUUUCGCGGCCAUGUUUGUUGUAGGGAAGAGAAGAGUGGCAGAGUUCCUCUUUCUCUGCCCCUUCCUGUCUGGGCUCCAACCUCCACUGCAGGUCAGCUGACUCUCUUCCUCCGGUGACUUCAGGCUGCCGACAGGAAACACUUCAGUUACACUCUCUGCCUGUCCAGGCUCUCCUGGAGGUAUUGAUCCUGUCACACCUGCGUGCCCGACACUAAAACCAGAACAUUACCCAUCCAUUAUCAGCUUCAGAUAUUUCUGUAGAGGAGAGAACACGACUGAUCAUAUCCUAUAAAGUGUUUUAUUCACAACCUGCAUGUUUAGCCCACAUACUUGAAAGGAGAAGUUCACCUAAAAAUGAAAACGUAGUCUCGGCUUACUCAACCUUCUUCGUAGUCCAUGAAACAUUUCUGGAGCAAUAUUGUCCUCAACAACUGAGGUAGAUGGGGACUUGUUUUAAAAUAUGUUUUAAAAAAAAAACAUAAAACAUAAAAUGGCACAGCUCAACUAUUGUAAUUCUGGGAGCCUCAAGAUCCCAAAUCUAUUUGAAAAGACAUUUUCACUCUCAUUGUGCCGUAGAACCUGUGUACCCACUUCAGACAGAGAAAGCACCAUUUCAGCCAUGAAAAAGGGUGUAAAUAACAUAUUUUCAAAUCAAUCUGGGAUCUCGGGGCUUCAAGAGACUAGGAGAGUGUCGGCACUUCACGUUAUAAAUCAAGUCCACGUUUACUUUAGUUGUUUGGGAAAACGCAGUAACGCGGUUUAUCUGUGAAGCUCCAAAACUUUGUGUGUACUUGUCCUUUCAGAAAUUAGCUUGAUUCAUAUUACAUUAUCUCUAAAACAGUGAUUAAAAAAACAUCAGCAGAGAUUUAAAACCACUUUCGAUAAAGAAAAACACAAGACCAAAGUUAAUGAAAAUGUACUAAAAUUUAAUCAUUCAUAAAAGCUGGAAAAUCAUCUGUGACAGCAAUAUUAGAGUUGGUUUAGUACAAUAUAUUUUCAGCCUCAAGACACAAAUCAGAACACACCAUUUUCCCCAUCAGUCUAUAAAAUACUAAUUUCCUUAGCUUUAUUAUGCAAAAAAUGGAAGUAGAAUAUAUUAUGGGAAAUAUGGAAGGCUUGCAGCUUUCAAUAUAAAACAAAGUCACUUAGGAAAGAUGUUAUCUCGUCAAUGCACAUCCUUGUAAGUAGGAGCGAGUAACUUAUGGACAAUGAUGCAUCUUUGUUGACACUGUUAGUGCAGAAAUGUAUGAGAAGGCCAACAUUUCACAUGUUUUCUUUUGCAAACGUUUUGUAACAAUAUGACAAAGAUUGAUGUUACUUUUAAUAAAACACAUUUUUAGUUCCCAUAUAUGGAUUUUAAACCCCACGGUCUCUUCUUUAAACCGAUAUUUCCAAAAGAAAGACUCCUUGGAGAAGAAAAAAUCUUAAAACGAGACAAAAACAGUUGUCAUCAGGCUGACAAUACAAUACAAAAAAAAAAA